AAAUGGUUCACAGAUCAAGAUCUGGUCAGAUCUGACUUUGUCGAAUUAACCAGGAUCUUGGGAACGAAUUUUUGAAUGAAACCAGUUGGGGGAUAAUUGGUUUAUACCAUGGUGAUAACCGAGAGAGGCAAUUGCUAAGUUGUGAUGCACUCAUGCCUCUACUAGAUGCGAACAAUUCCGGAGAAGAAGAAGAAGUGGAAUCGGACGAGGAUUUUAUUUAUGUUGCUGGGAUUCUUAUAUUGAUGGAGUUGAAGAAGUGCAGGGACGAAUAAGCCAAGGCAAGCCAUCUUUUGACCUCUCAUUCGGUGUCUAGUUGGAUGUCAUUUGUUGAUGUCCAAAGCACCUUGGUUCUAUGUGUGUUGUUCUCCUUACUAUUGUCAUAUAUGUAUGGUUGCUAGUGGAGUACUCCCUAGUGGUGAUACUCCACUAUUGUCGUUGUGAUUAUGGGAUGCAUGGUAUCAUGGCCGUGCUAUUCCACUUGGUUAUCUUGUAUGCUCAACUUGAGCAUGUCUCAUCUCAAGAAAAUGACUUACACCACACCCACCACUUUUGUAGUAUAGAGGUAUCAAUGUCAUGAUCUUGGUGUAUUCUCAACUUGAGAGGAGUAUGCCGUGUACCCAUUGGAGAGUAUGUUGGAUAGUGAUACUCCACUAUCUAAGUUGUUUUUCUAGCACCACAAAUCUGAAAGUAUAAUCCUCCUUGUGUGGCCAUAGUACAUGCUUACCUUAAGCAAGUAUGAUCCUAUUUGUGCCACUCACACCUACCCCUCACGGCGGGAUGACCUCCACCUCGGCCAUGGUGUUGUAUUAGUUCCUUCUCAUGAAACUGUAGGAUGGGAACCCCUCAAGGUUUACCUUGUUGUAAAUGUUUAUGAAAACCUUGGGUGAGUUAACCCAAGUGUAUGGUUUAUGAAAGCAAAGGAUCUUGAUAAAGAUGUUUGGGAAAGUGGUGUAUGGAGGUUGGUUGAGCAACCGUGGUGUUGUGGGAAAAAGGAAAUGGUUUCUAAAAAGGAGCACUGCGUAUAAGUGUUCGCCGUCCCAGCUUUUUAUCACGCAACCACACUACCCUGGUGUGGGACGGGGCUUAGCCCGUAGAUUAUUGAAGCUGGCAGGAGCACCCUUCACAACUCUCUAGGGAGGGUCACGAUGACCUCCGACGCUGGGUUGCGCUCUGGAGGAGGCAAUACACUGUCUAAACCGAUAGCCGGACGAUUACUGAGGGUCUUCUGUCAUGGCGCCGGAGAUACGCUCAAAAGGAGGUAUGCUGCCGGGGUGCCGGGAAGGGGUAAGCCCGCAGGGAAGGACUCAUGCCAGUGGAGAUGGGCGAAAGGUUAUGUCCGGGUAUCCGUCGUGGCAUAUGUUGUUAUGCGGG
Molecule: long non-coding RNA, 1371 nt
Organism: Lolium perenne
Lineage: Eukaryota; Viridiplantae; Streptophyta; Magnoliopsida; Poales; Poaceae
Source: RefSeq, a predicted model, not a curated record